ACACCGGCAGCUCAAGUGGUAGCCGCUUUUAUUGGGCCUAAAGCGUCCGUAGCCGGUCUGAUAAGUCUCUGGCGAAAUCCCACAGCUUAACUGUGGGAAUUGCUGGAGAUACUAUCAUGACUCGAGGUCGGGAGAGGCUGGAGGUACUCCCAGGGUAGGGGUGAAAUCCUGUAAUCCUGGGAGGACCACCUGUGGCGAAGGCGUCCAGCUGGAACGAACCUGACGGUGAGGGACGAAAGCCAGGGGCGCGAACCGGAUUAGAUACCCGGGUAGUCCUGGCCGUAAACGAUGUGGACUUGGUGUUGGGAUGGCUUCGAGCUGCCCCAGUGCCGAAGGGAAGCUGUUAAGUCCACCGCCUGGGAAGUACGGCCGCAAGGCUGAAACUUAAAGGAAUUGACGGGG
This 402-nucleotide ribosomal RNA is filed under the name uncultured bacterium. RNAcentral's name for it is "partial 16S ribosomal RNA". It matches the Rfam family "Archaeal small subunit ribosomal RNA", at positions 473 to 873 of the family's 1478-position model. The record is from RNAcentral.